UACGUAGGUGGCGAGCGUUGUCCGGAUUUACUGGGCGUAAAGGGAGCGUAGGCGGACUUUUAAGUGAGAUGUGAAAUACCUGGGCUCAACUUGGGUGCUGCAUUUCAAACUGGACGUCUAGAGUGCAGGAGAGGAGAAUGGAAUUCCUAGUGUAGCAGUGAAAUGCGUAGAGAUUAGGAAGAACACCAGUGGCGAAGGCGAUUCUCUGGACUGUAACUGACGCUGAGGCUCGAAAGCGUGGGGAGCAAACAGGAUUAGA
This 259-nucleotide ribosomal RNA is filed under the name uncultured prokaryote. Its description in RNAcentral is "partial 16S ribosomal RNA". It matches the Rfam family "Bacterial small subunit ribosomal RNA", at positions 524 to 782 of the family's 1533-position model. The record is from RNAcentral.